GAAAAAGUUGUCAGAGAUGCUGGGAGAUGGCACCUCUGAGUCCUGGGACUGAAGCUAAUGGAAGCCUCAUGCUCCUGUCAGCAAAAUGCUUCUGCUUCCUUCUGACCCAGCAUAAAUGCUGCAGAUUUAUGGUUUGGGUUCCUUAUAGGAGAGAAAAUCCAGCUCUGCAGCUGCACCUGGAACUGGCAGGAAAUCUACCCAAGAUCCAUUUCGCCUCUUGAGAGAGACUGAAAGCUAGUACCUGACCCAAAAACACACACAGGAGCCCUGAUUUGCACCCUGAGCCCUGGCUUGCAAGAGAAAAGAGCAUUCAAUUGUUUCAAACCUUCUUCAUUACUGCAACAGGAGUCCAUCACCUCUGGGAAUGAACAGCUUCAAAACUUAAGAAAUUGAUGAGCAGAAGGGUAGCAAGACUGGGAGCAUGGGGGAAGAGAAAUUGGAACUAUUAACUGGCAAAUAUUGACAACAUCAUUGUGGGCACUGCUGCUGCACAGCUUGAUGAAUGUCAGGUAAGGUCUUCUAUCUACAAAUGAUAGCUUGGACUCUUAAUAUCUGCAUUAGAGCAUUUUCUUUCUCUUGGACCAAAUUUUCUAAAU
Non-coding RNA from Zonotrichia albicollis (white-throated sparrow), 596 nucleotides. The record is from RefSeq and is a predicted model, not a curated record. Lineage: Eukaryota; Metazoa; Chordata; Aves; Passeriformes; Passerellidae.